This 1007-nucleotide long non-coding RNA is filed under the name Rosa chinensis. RNAcentral describes it as "sRNA RchiOBHm_Chr7g0243131". The record is from RNAcentral. Lineage: Eukaryota; Viridiplantae; Streptophyta; Magnoliopsida; Rosales; Rosaceae.
UUUUUCCCUUUCUUCAUUCUUGGCUGAUCUUUGCGUUUCUGUUGUUGAUAGAGUGAAAAGAGACGGAGAGAAUUGCAGAGAAUAGGAGUUCAUGUUAGUAACGAGAGGGAAGACGAAGAUUGGAAUUAGAUAGAGGAAAGCAGGAGAGUACUUUCUUUGGCGAUUUUGUUUUGUUGGCGAUUUCGGGUUUGUUUGGUCGUCGGUGAAUUAGGGCCUGUCGCUGUUAAUUUGGAUCAGAGGGUCGGUUUUAGAGAGAGAGAGAGAGAGAGAGAGAGAGAGAGAGAGAGAGAGAGAGAGAGAGAGAGAGAGAGAGAGAGAGAGAGAGAAUGGUUGUCGUUCAGAUCCAACAAAAAAAAGAAAAAAGAAGAAGAAAGGUUUGUGGUGUUUGAAGAGAGAGAGAGAGAAGAGGAUUUGGUUUCGACAGUACCGAAUUUGUGGCCUUCGUUUUGCUUGGAGAUUUAUUUGUCUGGUAUGAAUGUGAAACAAGAAUCAUUGACAGAGUUCCAGUGGUGAUCAUGUGCUCAGAGAACAUCCUCAGUUGAAUCGAUAGAAAAGCAGCUUCCAAGAGCCGUACUUGAAAUCAAGAGCCUGGAUGUGUUCUGAUCAUCAUUGUGAAACAAGAAAGAAAGAAAGAGGGUGAGGGAGGUGGGGAUUUUGAAGAAGGAUCCCGAGAUCCUGAAGGAGCAGAUUGAUAAGUUGAAUAAACAAAGGAAGGCAGCAUUAAACCAGCGGCAUCAUCCAUGGAAACCUUCAACAAAGAGAAAACAAACUAAAGUGUGAUGACACUUUUUAUGUACAAAGAACUGGAGGAAGCAACUUUUUGCACAACCUCCACAGCUGUUAACUACCAGGCUAACAACCUUUUGGCAACACAUAUGCUAACAGACAUCAUCAUCUAUUUUUAACAAAUACAUCAAGCAAUAAUUGUAAUUAAGUUAGCCUACAACUGUACCUAUUUUUUGCAAGCUGUUCGAACAGCAAAUGUAAGUAUCUUUUGAACAUUAUUA